AAUUAAUGAACUUGUUAUAAGUAUAUAUUUUGAAAAUAUAAAAAAGAAGAAAAUCCUUCUAUUAAUUU
Molecule: transfer RNA, 68 nt
Filed under: Staphylinidae sp. BMNH 1274254
Lineage: Eukaryota; Metazoa; Arthropoda; Insecta; Coleoptera; Staphylinidae
Description: tRNA-Ser
Source: RNAcentral